This 254-nucleotide ribosomal RNA is filed under the name uncultured bacterium. RNAcentral describes it as "partial 16S ribosomal RNA". It matches the Rfam family "Bacterial small subunit ribosomal RNA", at positions 524 to 776 of the family's 1533-position model. The record is from RNAcentral.
UACAGAGGGGGCAAGCGUUAAUCGGAAUUACUGGGCGUAAAGCGCGCGUAGGCGGCUUUUCAAGUCGAUUGUGAAAUCCCCGGGCUUAACCUGGGAACUGCAGUCGAGACUGUCUAGCUAGAGUAUGGGAGAGGGAAGUGGAAUUUCAGGUGUAGCGGUGAAAUUCGUAGAUAUUGGGAAGAACACCGAUGGCGAAGGCAGCCAUCUGGGACCGACACUGACGCUGAGGCGCGAAAGCGUGGGGAGCGAACAGG